GGGGCGAACGCUGGCGGCGUGCUUAACACAUGCAAGUCGAGCGGUAAGGCCUUUCGGGGUACACGAGCGGCGAACGGGUGAGUAACACGUGGGUGAUCUGCCCUGCACUUCGGGAUAAGCCUGGGAAACUGGGUCUAAUACCGGAUAUGACCUCAGGUUGCAUGACUUGGGGUGGAAAGAUUUAUCGGUGCAGGAUGGGCCCGCGGCCUAUCAGCUUGUUGGUGGGUAAUGGCCUACCAAGGCGACGACGGGUA
RNAcentral lists this ribosomal RNA (254 nucleotides) under uncultured soil bacterium. RNAcentral's name for it is "partial 16S ribosomal RNA". It matches the Rfam family "Bacterial small subunit ribosomal RNA", at positions 27 to 285 of the family's 1533-position model. The record is from RNAcentral.